This 468-nucleotide ribosomal RNA is filed under the name uncultured bacterium. RNAcentral's name for it is "partial 16S ribosomal RNA". It matches the Rfam family "Bacterial small subunit ribosomal RNA", at positions 28 to 507 of the family's 1533-position model. The record is from RNAcentral.
GACGAACGCUGGCGGCGUGCUUAACACAUGCAAGUCGAACGGAAAGGCCCUGCUUUUGUGGGGUUCUCGAGUGGCGAACGGGUGAGUAACACGUGAGUAACCUGCCCUUUACUUUGGUAUAACUUCAGGCAACUGGGGCUAAUACCGGAUAGGAGCUCCUGCUGCAUGGUGGGGGUUGGAAAGUUUCGGCGGUUGGGGAUGGACUCGCGGCUUAUCAGCUUGUUGGUGGGGUAGUGGCUUACCAAGGCUUUGACGGGUAGCCGGCAUGAGAGGGUGACCGGCCACAUUGGGACUGAGAGACGGCCCAGACUCCUACGUGAGGCAGCAGUGGGGAAUAUUGCAGGAUGGGCAGAAGCCUGAUGCAGCAACGCCGCGUGCGGGAUGUCGGCCAUUGGCUUGUAAACCGCUUUCGCCUGUGACGUAGCUUGAGUGACGGUAAUGGGUAAAGAAGCACCGGCUAACUACGUG